RNAcentral lists this ribosomal RNA (704 nucleotides) under uncultured bacterium. RNAcentral describes it as "bacterial SSU rRNA". It matches the Rfam family "Bacterial small subunit ribosomal RNA", at positions 54 to 760 of the family's 1533-position model. The record is from RNAcentral.
CAUGCAGUCGAGCGGUAAGGCCUUUCGGGGUACACGAGCGGCGAACGGGUGAGCAAUUCGAUGGGUGACCUGCCCUCCACUUCGGGAUAAGCCUGGGAAACUGGGUCUAAUACCGGAUAGGACCUCUGGAUGCAUGUCUGGGGGUGGAAAGUUUUGUCGGUGGGGGAUGGGCCCGCGGUCUAUCAGCUUGUUGGUGGGGUGAUGGCUUACCAAGGCGACGACGGAUAGCCGGCCUGAGAGGGUGAUCGGCCACACUGGGACUGAGACACGGCCCAGACUCCUACGGGAGGCAGCAGUGGGGAAUCUUGCGCAAUGGGCGGAAGCCUGACGCAGCAACGCCGCGUGGGGGAUGACGGCCUUCGGGUUGUAAACCUCUUUCGCGAUCGACGAAGCUCCGCUUUUUGGUGGGGUGACGGUAGGUCGAGAAGAAGCACCGGCCAACUACGUGCCAGCAGCCGCGGUAAUACGUAGGGUGCGAGCGUUGUCCGGAAUUAUUGGGCGUAAAGAGCUCGUAGGCGGUGUGUCGCGUCGGCCGUGAAAACCUGGGGCUCAACUCUGGGCGUGCGGUCGAUACGGGCAUCACUGGAGUUCGGCAGGGGAGACUGGAAUUCCUGGUGUAGCGGUGAAAUGCGCAGAUAUCANGAGGANCACCGNUGGNCGAAAGCGGNUCUCUGGGUCCGAUACUGACGCUGANGAGCGAAAGC